GAUGAACGCUGACAGCAUGCUUAACACAUGCAAGUCAACUUGAACUUCGGUUUGGGUGGCGGACGGGUGAGUAACGCGUAAAGAACUUGCCUCACAGCUAGGGACAACAUUCGGAAACGAAUGCUAAUACCUGUUAUUCUGAUUUUAGGGCAUCCUAGAAUUAUGAAAGUUAUAUGCGCUGGGUGAGAGCUUUGCGUGCCAUUAGCUCGUUGGAGCGGUAACGGCUCACCAAGGCGAUGAUGGGUAGCCGGCCGGAGAGGGUGAACGGCCACAAGGGGACUGAGACACGGCCCUAACCCCCACGGAAGGCAGCGGUGGGGAAUAUUGGACAAUGGACGAAGAGUCUGAUCCAGCAAUUCUGUGUGGACGAUGAGGUUUUUCGGAAUGUAAAGUUCUUGCAGGUGAGAAGAAGAAAAUGACGGUACCAACAGAAGAAGUAACGGCUAAAUACGUG
Molecule: ribosomal RNA, 454 nt
Filed under: uncultured bacterium
Lineage: Bacteria
Description: partial 16S ribosomal RNA
Rfam family: Bacterial small subunit ribosomal RNA
Source: RNAcentral